UACGUAGGGUGCGAGCGUUAAUCGGAAUUACUGGGCGUAAAGCGUGCGCAGGCGGAUUGGUAAGACAGAGGUGAAAUUCCCGGGCUUAACCUGGGAACUGCAUUUGUGACUGCCAGGCUAGAGUGCGGCAGAGGGGAGUGGAAUUCCGCGUGUAGCAGUGAAAUGCGUAGAUAUGCGGAGGAACACCGAUGGCGAAGGCAACUCCCUGGGCCUGUACUGACGCUCAUGCGCGAAAGCGUGGGGAGCAAACAGG
RNAcentral lists this ribosomal RNA (253 nucleotides) under uncultured bacterium. Its description in RNAcentral is "partial 16S ribosomal RNA". It matches the Rfam family "Bacterial small subunit ribosomal RNA", at positions 524 to 776 of the family's 1533-position model. The record is from RNAcentral.